Molecule: ribosomal RNA, 481 nt
Filed under: uncultured bacterium
Lineage: Bacteria
Description: partial 16S ribosomal RNA
Rfam family: Bacterial small subunit ribosomal RNA
Source: RNAcentral
GAUGAACGCUGGCGGCGUGCUUAACACAUGCAAGUCGAACGAAGCACUCUAUUUGAUUUCCUUCGGGACUGAUUAUUUUGUGACUGAGUGGCGGACGGGUGAGUAACGCGUGGGUAACCUGCCUUGUACAGGGGGAUAACAGUUGGAAACAGCUGCUAAUACCGCAUAAGCGCACAGCAUCGCAUGAUGCAGUGUGAAAAACUCCGGUGGUAUAAGAUGGACCCGCGUUGGAUUAGCUAGUUGGUGAGGUAACGGCCCACCAAGGCGACGAUCCAUAGCCGACCUGAGAGGGUGACCGGCCACAUUGGGACUGAGACACGGCCCAAACUCCUACGGGAGGCAGCAGUGGGGAAUAUUGCACAAUGGGCGAAAGCCUGAUGCAGCGACGCCGCGUGAGCGAAGAAGUAUUUCGGUAUGUAAAGCUCUAUCAGCAGGGAAGAUAAUGACGGUACCUGACUAAGAAGCACCGGCUAAAUACGUG